GCCUACGCCGCUUCCCUCCCGCUGGAAGAGGCACCGGCAGCCGGACCACAGCCGAAAGAAAGAAAUGCAACUUGAGCUGGUUGAAAAUGGCCCAUCAGCAGGACCAUCACUGGACCAGCAGCAUAAAGCCAUGUCUUCAGGACAAGGGGGAACGUUUAAAAUUAGGGAGGCCCUCGAGAAAACACCGGAGAGUAGAGAGAUAAUGUGCAGUCUUGACACCAAACGGUGCAUCUCGCUCAAGCAGAGGAGGUCUAUGGUUAGAAUCCUAGUGUCACAUCUCAUGGAGCGGUUCGGAGAGACUCCAGCAUUGGAAACAAGGAAAACCUGGCCUCAUCUUUAGUGACGGAAUUUCCGUAUCUAAGGGAUCAGCAUGGGAACGGCAAUGAGGCGUGGUAUAGUCCAGGUCGAACUCACAGACCAGCAACUGGCUUCGUUGAAGAGCGUUUAAGAAAUGUACGGAAGAGGCUCCGUAGUGGAAAGUGCAGACCUAGCCCUGUGGAGAACCCUGUAACUAAUUGGUAUUGCCAGAGACUGAAAUAUCUGAUGAGAGGGCAGUGGCGAUGACGGAGUGGUUAAGAAAUAACAUCCGACCCCUUAACCAAGUAGAAGAAUACAUGAAGCAGACAGCCAUCCACAGAGCUAAGCGGAUAAGGGAGCAUGGGUCAAAGACAGUGGAGGAGGUCAAAAAAGAGCAUCCACGUCUUUUGGAUACUCCAGGAAUGAUUGCUCAGGACUUUGCCAUUCUACACCCAGCCUGUGCUGGGAAACUUGGAUAACUGGCAGAAAAGUGGAUGCCCGUUUUCAGAGACAGAAAUUUAUGGUUUGCUAGCCAGGAGAAGCAAGCUUCUGGAAUUCUUUCAAGACUGGAUUCUGUGUGUGCAGAUGCGCAAGGUGACAGGGCUGUGAGAUUAUUGCCAGUAGUCCUACCAGCUUCUGUCUAUAGGAUUCUGCCGGAAGACCUUCCGUCUGAGCUGUGAAGAGACAAGAAAGUCAUUCAUUGAUCUACAGCCUACGGAAAAAACCUGAGCUCGCUGCGGAAAUUCCUGAGCGGUACCGUGUGACGUCACUGGUGGACAACAGUGAACAGCGCCGCAGUACAACAGCAUUAUGACUGACUGGGACUGAGGAUUUUCCAGCGCUGGUUCUUCAGAUUCUGAUGAUAAUUUGAAAGAGCUGUAAUGUAGAAAUAGACCACCUUAUCACUUAGUCCUGAGACUUUUAGUCAAACCACACCCACAAAAGCAGCUCAUCCUGAGUGUAAACAGUAUCAUGACAACAGCCUAGCAACCAGCUAAACUCAAAUAUAGAGGUACAGUUAUUGUCGUAAAAUUUGCUGGUUUGCUUACACCUCCAUAUUGUUGGAACAGCGCCAGUUUUAAGAUCCAGUUGAAAAAAGUCACAUUUUAUUAGCAGUCUACCUCAAUUUAACAGCAUUUUUAACUGUUUCUCACUAUGCUGAGGUUUUUAUUUUUCUGUUGGGGGUGUCCCAAUGAUGUGUGUUUUAAGGCGUUCUUUGUAUUUGAUAUAAACUACCCCCGACAGUGUUCUUCAGACUGUUGUUUAUGAGCUACCAGGUCAUGAAUCUCCCUCCAUAAGACUCUUGCGGGCAUUUAUUUUUGCCACAGAUCAGUGACAGCUCCCAGAAUGACGCCAUGUGUGUUACCUCUUUUUAUUUUAUUAAUUUCUCAAGCAAAAGAAAAUUUGUUAUUGAAUAAGGUUGCUUGUAAUUGUUGUUGCUGCUGUUAUUGUUAUUAUUGUUGUCAUUGAGAAAUGUGCUUUUAUAUUUAUUUUAUAUAUAUAUGCUCACUAUGCUGAGGUUUUUAUUUUUCUGUUGGGGGUGUCCCAUGUCAAGACAACUAAUUGAAUUCAUAUCGAUUUGUUGUAGCAGUUGUAAACAAUAUCAAAUGCAUGCAUAUAAAAAGAAAUGCAUCACUAAAAGGUGUCACAUUAAAAGCUAAGAAGCAGUACUGUAGUAUUCAGUAGACUAACAGGUUUCUCUCUAGACUAAAUUCUAUGGUUGUUACAUAUGCAAACAUUGGAUGUCAGCUGAUGCUCAGUGUUACAAUAAUCAGUUUCAAAUUGAAGGACAGAAAGCUUAGAUCAGGACAUCCCUGUUCAAAGUGGAUUAUUUCAGCAUGUUAGAAUUAAGGUGUAAAAUUAAAGUACUAAUUCUAUGUUUCAAUUUUCAUGUUUACAACAGAUUGGGACUAAUAUGGUGGAAUACGUGUCCGAGGCCACAAGACCAUACCCAUUCGUUUUGGCUCUAGGUGCGUACCAACAUACCAGUGUGUAGUAUUUCCAUGUACAAUGCCGGUUUCAUGUGUGUUGGUUUUUGUUUUUGACUUUUAUUUAUAAUCAUUU
Molecule: long non-coding RNA, 2361 nt
Organism: Pygocentrus nattereri (red-bellied piranha)
Lineage: Eukaryota; Metazoa; Chordata; Actinopteri; Characiformes; Serrasalmidae
Exons: 9
Source: RefSeq, a predicted model, not a curated record